RNAcentral lists this ribosomal RNA (468 nucleotides) under uncultured bacterium. RNAcentral's name for it is "partial 16S ribosomal RNA". It matches the Rfam family "Bacterial small subunit ribosomal RNA", at positions 28 to 507 of the family's 1533-position model. The record is from RNAcentral.
GACGAACGCUGGCGGCGUGCUUAACACAUGCAAGUCGAACGGAAAGGCCCUGCUUUUGUGGGGUGCUCGAGUGGCGAACGGGUGAGUAACACGUGAGUAACCUGCCCUUGACUUUGGGAUAACUUCAGGAAACUGGGGCUAAUACCGGAUAGGAGCUCCUGCUGCAUGGUGGGGGUUGGAAAGUUUCGGCGGUUGGGGAUGGACUCGCGGCUUAUCAGCUUGUUGGUGGGGUAGGGGCUUACCAAGGCUUUGACGGGUAGCCGGCCUGAGAGGGUGAUCGGCCACAUUGGGACUGAGAUACGGCCCAGACUCCUACGGGAGGCAGCAGUGGGGAAUAUUGCACAAUGGGCGGAAGCCUGAUGCAGCAACGCCGCGUGCGGGAUGACGGCCUUCGGGUUGUAAACCGCUUUCGCCUGUGACGAAGCGUGAGUGACGGUAAUGGGUAAAGAAGCACCGGCUAACUACGUG